AAAAAAAAAGAGGCAUAUAGCCUUCCCCAUCCCUCUCGCCGACGCACAGUCGCACCACCCGAUCCCCCUCCCUUUCUUCGUCCUCUCUCUCUCUCUCUCUCUCUCUCUCUCUCUCUCUCUCUCUCUCUCUCUCUCCGUCCCUUUCUCCCCCAUCCCAUCUUCUCGGGUUCUCUGAUCCCCCCCCUUUGCGAUCUACCUCUCCUUCGAGGCUUCUCGAGUCCAGGCCCUGCGAUGCCGAUCAGACCUAGCUCAUCGAUCGCUCUCUCCAAUUGGGCUCUGUGCUCCUCGAGGCUGCGAAUCGUUCUGCGAGAAAACCAGCCUCCAAGCACAACUCUCUCACCUGUACUCUCCCCCCAGACCUCCCUCCAAGCACAAUUUGUAUAUAUU
RNAcentral lists this long non-coding RNA (387 nucleotides) under Prunus dulcis (almond). Its description in RNAcentral is "sRNA ncRNA". The record is from RNAcentral. Lineage: Eukaryota; Viridiplantae; Streptophyta; Magnoliopsida; Rosales; Rosaceae.